UUAAGCAAACGCGAAGCCGUAGCGAAAGCGAGUCUGAAUAGGGCGCUUAGUCAGAUGCUGCAGACCCGAAACGAAGUGAUCUAUCCAUGAGCAAGUUGAAGCUAGUGUAAGAACUAGUGGAGGACUGAACCCAUAGGCGUUGAAAAGCCCCGGGAUGACUUGUGGAUAGGGGUGAAAGGCCAAUCAAACUUCGUGAUAGCUGGUUCUCUCCGAAAUAUAUUUAGGUAUAGCGUUGUGUCGUAAUAUAAGGGGGUAGAGCACUGAAUGGGCUAGGGCAUACACCAAUGUACCAAACCCUAUCAAACUCCGAAUACCUUAUAUGUAAUCACAGCAGUCAGGCGGCGAGUGAUAAAAUCCGUCGUCAAGAGGGAAACAACCCAGACUACCAGCUAAGGUCCCUAAAUCUUACUUAAGUGGAAAACGAUGUGAAGUUACUUAAACAACCAGGAGGUUGGCUUAGAAGCAGCCAUCCUUUAAAGAAAGCGUAAUAGCUCACUGGUCUAGUGAUUUUGCGCGGAAAAUAUAACGGGGCUAAAGUAAGUACCGAAGCUGUAGACUUAGUUUACUAAGUGGUAGGAGAGCGUUCUAUUUGCGUCGAAGGUAUACCGGUAAGGAGUGCUGGAGCGAAUAGAAGUGAGCAUGCAGGCAUGAGUAGCGAUAAUUAAUGUGAGAAUCAUUAACGCCGUAAACCCAAGGUUUCCUACGCGAUGCUCGUCAUCGUAGGGUUAGUCGGGUCCUAAGUCGAGUCCGAAAGGGGUAGACGAUGGCAAAUUGGUUAAUAUUCCAAUACCAACAUUAGUGUGCGAUGGAAGGACGCUUAGGGCUAAGGGGGCUAGCGGAUGGAAGUGCUAGUCUAAGGUCGUAGGAGGUUAUACAGGCAAAUCCGUAUAACAAUACUCCGAGAACUGAAAGGCUUUUUGAAGUCUUCGGAUGGAUAGAAGAACCCCUGAUGCCGUCGAGCCAAGAAAAGUUUCUAAGUUUAGCUAAUGUUGCCCGUACCGUAAACCGACACAGGUGGGUGGGAUGAGUAUUCUAAGGCGCGUGGAAGAACUCUCUUUAAGGAACUCUGCAAAAUAGCACCGUAUCUUCGGUAUAAGGUGUGGUUAGCUUUGUAUUAGGAUUUACUCCGAAAGCAAGGAAACUUACAACAAAGAGUCCCUCCCGACUGUUUACCAAAAACACAGCACUCUGCUAACUCGUAAGAGGAUGUAUAGGGUGUGACGCCUGCCCGGUGCUCGAAGGUUAAUUGAUGGGGUUAGCAUUAGCGAAGCUCUUGAUCGAAGCCCGAGUAAACGGCGGCCGUAACUAUAACGGUCCUAAGGUAGCGAAAUUCCUUGUCGGUUAAAUACCGACCUGCAUGAAUGGCGUAACGAGAUGGGAGCUGUCUCAAAGAGGGAUCCAGUGAAAUUGUAGUGGAGGUGAAAAUUCCUCCUACCCGCGGCAAGACGGAAAGACCCCGUGGACCUUUACUACAGCUUGACACUGCUACUUGGAUAAGAAUGUGCAGGAUAGGUGGGAGGCUUUGAGUAUAUGACGCCAGUUGUAUAUGAGCCAUUGUUGAGAUACCACUCUUUCUUAUUUGGGUAGCUAACCAGCUUGAGUUAUCCUCAAGUGGGACAAUGUCUGGUGGGUAGUUUGACUGGGGCGGUCGCCUCCCAAAUAAUAACGGAGGCUUACAAAGGUUGGCUCAGAACGGUUGGAAAUCGUUCGUAGAGUAUAAAGGUAUAAGCCAGCUUAACUGCAAGACAUACAAGUCAAGCAGAGACGAAAGUCGGUCUUAGUGAUCCGGUGGUUCUGUGUGGAAGGGCCAUCGCUCAAAGGAUAAAAGGUACCCCGGGGAUAACAGGCUGAUCUCCCCCAAGAGCUCACAUCGACGGGGAGGUUUGGCACCUCGAUGUCGGCUCAUCGCAUCCUGGGGCUGGAGCAGGUCCCAAGGGUAUGGCUGUUCGCCAUUUAAAGCGGUACGCGAGCUGGGUUCAGAACGUCGUGAGACAGUUCGGUCCCUAUCUGCCGUGGGCGUAAGAAGAUUGAAGAGAUUUGACCCUAGUACGAGAGGACCGGGUUGAACAAACCACUGGUGUAGCUGUUGUUCUGCCAAGAGCAUCGCAGCGUAGCUAAGUUUGGAAAGGAUAAACGCUGAAAGCAUCUAAGCGUGAAGCCAACUCUAAGAUGAAUCUUCUCUAAGCUCUCUAGAAGACUACUAGUUUGAUAGGCUGGGUGUGUAAUGGAUGAAAGUCCUUUAGCUGACCAGUACUAAUAGAGCGUUUGGCUUAUCUUUAAUAAAGCAU
Molecule: ribosomal RNA, 2288 nt
Filed under: Campylobacter jejuni
Lineage: Bacteria; Pseudomonadati; Campylobacterota; Epsilonproteobacteria; Campylobacterales; Campylobacteraceae
Description: partial 23S ribosomal RNA
Rfam family: Bacterial large subunit ribosomal RNA
Source: RNAcentral